AGAUUGAACGCUGGCGGCAGGCCUAACACAUGCAAGUCGAGCGGCAGCACGGGUACUUGUACCUGGUGGCGAGCGGCGGACGGGUGAGUAAUGCCUAGGAAUCUGCCUGAUAGUGGGGGGAUAACGUUCGGAAACGGACGCUAAUACCGCAUACGUCCUACGGGAGAAAGUGGGGGAUCUUCGGACCUCACGCUAUCAGAUGAGCCUAGGUCGAUUAGCUAGUUGGUAGGGUAAAGGCCUACCAAGGCUACGAUCCGUAACUGGUCUGAGAGGAUGAUCAGUCACACUGGAACUGAGACACGGUCCAGACUCCUACGGGAGCAGCAGUGGGAAUAGUUGGACAAGUGGGACGAAAGGCCUAGACUCCAGCCAUGCCGCGUGUGUGAAGAGGUCUUCGAUUGAAGCAAUUUAGUGGAGAGGCAGUUAACCUAUACGUUAGUGUUU
RNAcentral lists this ribosomal RNA (444 nucleotides) under uncultured soil bacterium. RNAcentral's name for it is "bacterial SSU rRNA". It matches the Rfam family "Bacterial small subunit ribosomal RNA", at positions 26 to 468 of the family's 1533-position model. The record is from RNAcentral.